Molecule: ribosomal RNA, 1335 nt
Filed under: Triticum aestivum (bread wheat)
Lineage: Eukaryota; Viridiplantae; Streptophyta; Magnoliopsida; Poales; Poaceae
Description: partial small subunit ribosomal RNA
Source: RNAcentral
AUGAGGAAUUUGAAAGACAAAAGAACUAAGAUUUAUCCCUCAACUACGAGGGGAGGUAAGGAACUGCCAUCUAGCUCUGCACUAGAUUCUCCUUCUGUUAUGAGUAAACUUGCGACACCUAAACCUGCUUCUGCUAUGAAUUCUGAUAUGUCGCAUGUUAUUGAUGAUGCCACUUCUACUAUACAUGAUACUUAUGAUGAAAUUACUUCUGUGCUUGAUACUACUGUGCCAUUAGGUGAAUAUCUUGAUGAACAACUUGCUCGGGUUAGAGAGAAUAAAAUUCUUGAAACUGAUAUUAUUGAAGAUAGUGAUGAUGAAGGUUCUCCCCCUAAAUAUGAAUUGCCUGUUAUUCCUGAGGGUUAUGUUAUGGAUGAAGAAACUGCUAGAGAUUUUCUUGCUUGUAAUGAUAGAUCUGAUCUUAAUAAUUUAUUAGCUAAACUGAAACAGAAAACUCUGAAUGCUAGAAUGAAAUAUGAUCCUACUUUUGCUACUUCACCUAUCUUUGUUGUUGAUAAGGAUUAUGAAUUCUCUAUCGAUCCUGAGAUAAUUACUUUGGUUGAAUCUGAUUCUUUUUAUGGCUAUGAAUCUGAAACGGUUGUGGCACAUCUUACUAAAUUACAUGAUAUAGCCACCCUGUUCACUAAUGAUGACAAAUCUCUCUACUAUUAUAUCCUUAAGAUAUUUCCAUUCUCAUUAAAGGGUGAUGCUAAAACUUGGUUUAAUUCUCUUAAUCCUGGUUGUGUGCGUAGUCCCCAGGAUAUGAUUUAUUACUUUUUUGCUAAAUAUUUCCCUGCUCAUAAGAAACAAGCUGCUUUAAGGGAAAGAUAUAAUUUUGUGCAAAUUAAAGAAGAGAGUCUCCCACAAGUUUGGGGGAGGCUUCUCCAAUUACUUAAUGCUUUGCCUGAUAAUCCUCUUAAGAAAAAUGAAAUACUUGAUAUCUUUUAUAGUAAACUAACCGAUGCUUUCAAGGACCACUUGGAUAGUUGUGUUGGUUGUGUUUUCAGGGAAAGAACUGUCGAUCAAGCUGAAUUGCUAUUGAAUAAUAUGUUGACUAAUGAAAAUAAUUGGACACUUCCUGAGCCAACUCCUGAGCCAAUUCCUAAACCAACUCUGAAGAAAAGGGGAGUUCUAUUUCUCAGUCCUGAAGAUAUGCAAGAUGCAAACAAAUCUAUGAAAGAAAAAGAUAUUAAAGUUGAAGAUGUUAAAAAUUUACCUCCUAUUGAAGACAUACAUGGUCUUAAUAUACCACCUAUUGAAGAAAUACAUGCUCUCGAUAACCCUACACAUGUAGUAAAGAAAAAAGAUGAAGAGAUUUUUCUUGAGGGGCUCUUCUAG